RNAcentral lists this ribosomal RNA (629 nucleotides) under uncultured bacterium. RNAcentral's name for it is "bacterial SSU rRNA". The stretch from base 1 to 536 matches the Rfam family "Bacterial small subunit ribosomal RNA", at positions 338 to 873 of the family's 1533-position model. The record is from RNAcentral.
CCUACGGGAGGCAGCAGUAAGGAAUAUUGGUCAAUGGACGCAAGUCUGAACCAGCCAUGCCGCGUGAAGGAUUAAGGUCCUCUGGAUUGUAAACUUCUUUUAUCUGGGACGAAAAAAGGCGAUUCUUCGUCACUUGACGGUACCAGAUGAAUAAGCACCGGCUAACUCCGUGCCAGCAGCCGCGGUAAUACGGAGGGUGCAAGCGUUAUCCGGAUUCACUGGGUUUAAAGGGUGCGUAGGCGGGCAGGUAAGUCAGUGGUGAAAUCCUAGAGCUUAACUCUAGAACUGCCAUUGAUACUAUCUGUCUUGAAUAUUGUGGAGGUAAGCGGAAUAUGUCAUGUAGCGGUGAAAUGCUUAGAUAUGACAUAGAACACCUAUUGCGAAGGCAGCUUACUACGCAUAUAUUGACGCUGAGGCACGAAAGCGUGGGGAUCAAACAGGAUUAGAUACCCUGGUAGUCCACGCCCUAAACGAUGAUUACUCGACAUUGUGAUACACUAUAAGUGUGUGAGNGAAGAGAUUAAGUAAUACCUACCGUUACGGAAGUACGACCGACCGAAGGUUAGUUAACGUUACGAAGGAAGUUAGACGGACGNGAGACGAGCGACGGACGACGACGAGGGAGGAGG